This 495-nucleotide ribosomal RNA is filed under the name uncultured bacterium. RNAcentral describes it as "partial 16S ribosomal RNA". It matches the Rfam family "Bacterial small subunit ribosomal RNA", at positions 30 to 507 of the family's 1533-position model. The record is from RNAcentral.
UGAACGCUGGCGGCGUGCCUAAUACAUGCAAGUCGAGCGAACAGACGAGGAGCUUGCUCCUUUGACGUUAGCGGCGGACGGGUGAGUAACACGUGGAUAACCUACCUAUAAGACUGGGAUAACUUCGGGAAACCGGAGCUAAUACCGGAUAACAUGUUGAACCGCAUGGUUCAACAGUGAAAGACGGUCUUGCUGUCGCUUAUAGAUGGAUCCGCGCCGCAUUAGCUAGUUGGUAAGGUAACGGCUUACCAAGGCAACGAUGCGUAGCCGACCUGAGAGGGUGAUUGGCCACACUGGAACUGAGACACGGUCCAGACUCCUACGGGAGGCAGCAGUAGGGAAUCUUCCGCAAUGGGCGAAAGCCUGACGGAGCAACGCCGCGUGAGUGAAGAAGGUCUUCGGAUCGUAAAACUCUGUUAUUAGGGAAGAACAAAUGUGUAAGUAACUAUGCACGUCUUGACGGUACCUAAUCAGAAAGCCACGGCUAACUACGUG